UGGCUCAGAUUGAACGCUGGCGGGAUGCUUUACACAUGCAAGUCGAACGGCAGCACGGACUUCGGUCUGGUGGCGAGUGGCGAACGGGUGAGUAAUGUAUCGGAACGUGCCUAGUAGCGGGGAUAACUACGCGAAAGCGUAGCUAAAUACCGCAUACGCCCUUCGGGGGAAAGCGGGGGACCUUUCGCCUCAAAAUUAGGAGCGGCCGAUAUCGGAUUAGCCAGUUGGUGGGUGAUCGGCUCACCAAGGCGACGAUCUGUAGCUGGUUUGAGAGGAUGACCAGCCAGCUGACUCCUUCGACCGAGACACGGCCCAGACUCCUACGGGAGGCAGCAGUGUAAUCUUGACAAUGGGAACCCUGAUCCAGCCAUCCCGCGUGUGCGAUGAAGGCCUUCGGGUUGUAAAAGCACUUUUGGCAGGAAAGAAACGGCACGGAUAAUACCCCGUGCAACUGACGGUACCUGCAGAAUAAGCACCUACCAAUCCGUGCCAGCAGCCGCGGUAAUACGUAGGGUGCAAGCGUUAAUCAACUCACGGGCGUAAAGCGUGCGCAGGCGGUUCGGAAAGAAAGAUGUGAAAUCCCAGAGCUUAACUUUGGAACGUACUUAACUACCGAGCUAGAGUGUGUCAGAUGUGGAGUGGAAUUCCGCGUGUAGCAGAACAGUGUAGAUAUGCGGAGGAACACCGAUGGCGAAGGCAGCCUCCUGGGAUAACACUGACGCUCAUGCACGAAAGCGUGGAGCAAACAGGAUUAGAUACCCUGUAGUCCACGCCCUAAACGAUGUCAACCAGCUGUUGGGGGCUCUCGGCACGUAGCGCAGCCAACGCGUAGUUGACCGCCUGGGGAGCGCUGGUCGCAAGAUUAAAACUCGUAAAGGAAUUGACGGGGACCCGCAUACGGUGGAUGAUGUGGAUUAAUUCGAUGCAAGAAAACCUUACCCUUACCCUUGACAUGUCUGGAAUCCCGAAGAGAUUUGGGAGUGCUCGCAAGAGAACCGGAACACAGGUGCUGCAUGGCUGUCGUCAGCUCGUGUCGAGAUGCUGGGUUAAGUCCGCAACGAUGCAACCCUUGUCACAGCGAGCAUGAAAGGGCACCAAUAGACUGCCGGUGACAAACCGGAGGAAGGUGGGGAUGACGUCAAGUCCUCAUGGCCCUGGUAGGGCUUCACACGUCAUACAAUGGUCGGGACAGAGGGUCGCCAACCCGCGAGGGGAGCCAAUCCUACAGAACCCGAUCGUAGUCCGGAUCGCAGUCUGCAACUCGACUGCGUGAAGUCGGAAUCGCUAGUAAUCGCGGAUCAGCAUGUCGUGUGAAUACGUUCCCGGGUCUUGUACACACCGCCCGUCACACCAUGGGAGUGGGUUUUACCAGAAGUAGUUAGCCUAACCGUAAGGAGGGCGAUUACCACGGUAGGAUUCAUGACUGGGGUGAAGUCGUAACAAGGUAG
This 1448-nucleotide ribosomal RNA is filed under the name uncultured Bordetella sp. RNAcentral describes it as "partial 16S-23S ribosomal RNA intergenic spacer". It matches the Rfam family "Bacterial small subunit ribosomal RNA". Lineage: Bacteria; Pseudomonadati; Pseudomonadota; Betaproteobacteria; Burkholderiales; Alcaligenaceae. The record is from RNAcentral.